AAGAGACAGCAGCCGCCGCGGGAAUACGAAGGGUGCAAGCGUUACUCGGAAUUACUGGGCGUAAAGCGUGCGUAGGUGGUGGUUUAAGUCCGUUGUGAAAGCCCUGGGCUCAACCUGGGAAUUGCAGUGGAUACUGGGUCACUAGAGUGUGGUAGAGGAUAGUGGAAUUUCCGGUGUAGCAGUGAAAUGCGUAGAGAUCGGAAGGAACAUCUGUGGCGAAGGCGACUAUCUGGGCCAACACUGACACUGAGGCACGAAAGCGUGGGGAGCAAACAGGAUUAGAUACCCCUGUAGUCCCUGUCUCUUAUAA
RNAcentral lists this ribosomal RNA (310 nucleotides) under uncultured bacterium. RNAcentral's name for it is "partial 16S ribosomal RNA". It matches the Rfam family "Bacterial small subunit ribosomal RNA", at positions 503 to 809 of the family's 1533-position model. The record is from RNAcentral.